CACUCCUGCUUUCUCUCCCUCCCACUCUCUCUCUGUAACUCCCUCGCUCAUCUCAUCCUCCUGUGACUUAGUUUGCUGUGCGCAACAACUGGCAGACGUCUGUCCUGUUCUCUUGUGAGGUGACAAGCUUGUUCGGGAGGAGAUCCUGUGUGUUUGGGCUCAUGGUCUUAUGGCAGCGACAGCUCGGUGGCACAACAACCUGAAGGAACGGAGGGACGGCAUCCUCAGCCUUCCCUGUCACUGCCGGCUCAAGGCAGCGGACGAAUGGGCGGCUUUGUGCUCAGCGGGUGCCGCUCAGAAGAGAUCUCUAGGAUCUGGCCUGGAUGUUUGCGAGCGCUUCCGCCCCCGGAGGCCGGGCUGGACCGAGGACAGGACGUGAGGUCCGUGAGCACCAGAUGCAACCUUUGACGGGGGCCUUGACUUGUGGUAAAGGGCAUCUUCAAUCAAUUCCCCUAGAGAGAAAACUCUGCUUUGGCCUAUGCCACUGUGGAUGGCUGAAAGUCAGACGAAGCCCCCUUUUUCUAAGGCUCUCUUCGGUGACGGGUAUUCUUGGGUGGAUAAUACGGCUCUCGUUGUUAUUGCUUAAGAAUACGCGUAGUUGAGGAGAGUCAUUGUCAACUGUCGUCUGGGAAAUAACCUUCACUGGUCCCAAAAACCUUCUGGCUUUGCACUGUGGCCGUUUAUGUAGCAACUAGGUUUUUUCUGUGGUUUUGUUUGUUUCUGGAACAGGAGACAGGCAGCUCUUGCUCAUUAUGUACUGCUAUCCAACGAGCAGAAUUUUAAAUUUCACACCACUUUUUUUGAUUUUUGUUUUGUUUAGUGUGCAUGCAUGGGGCGGUUCAUAGGGAAAGGCGUUAUUUUUGCUCUCUUCAGGGAGUGUUUUAGUGUACACAUGCAUGCUUGCCUGGCUGAUAGGAAUGCAUUUACUGCUCUUUAUUGUUAGUCCUGAGCACCAGCAGGAGCCCUGGACUGCAUGGGGUGUUCACAGAGAUUGAUUUUGAGAUGGCAUUAGGCGUACAGCUCAGCUGACAGCGAUGGGAGGCAAAAUGUCCACGGAAUCUAAGAGGCUUUGCUAUGAAAGGGGAGUGGCUUCAAGUCUAAUUACGAAACGGAACUAAGCAGAAGCAGCAUAAUAGAUUACAUGAACGUAUCUACUGGGCUCACAGCAUCAGCUGUUUCCAUCUGAUUGUAGCACAGUUUCUCAGGACAAAAACUAAUUGAAUAUCAGUUUUUUUUUCUUCUAGAUAAAGACACAUGUUCACAUAAUGUUCUUUUUCAAACCACUAAUUACUUUUUAAUGACACGCUCAAAUGAGUUAGCUUGUACUGGUGAAAAAAAAGAUGGUCAGAGUUUUUAAAGCAGUCAUGUCUUUCUCUCAGCUCUUAUCUUAGGAGUAUGUUGUUUGUAUAAUAUCUAACCAAAUUCUUUUCAUAUGUCUGAAUCCAUUUAAGAAUAACCUGACAUAAUUUUUUUUAUGCCUUGGUUUUAUAAACGUAAGAUUUUAUUGAAGGACUGGCAAUUUUAGAUAAUAAAUAAUGUUAACAUUAUAAAUCAUGUUUAUGUGGGUUACAAUUGAAUUGUUAUACAGAACUGUUAAGAAAUUGUAAAUAUAGCUAACUUCUUCCAUUGUCUGCCUUUUUUUUUUUUUUUUUUUUUACAAAAGUAAUGUAAAUUGGAAGUAAUGUAAAUUGGCUGCUACUCUGUUUGAUUCACAUUCGCCUUGUGAAAAUAACUAGAGGCUUAUUAGAAACUUUCAUGAAAAGACCCCAUAACCAGAAACAAAGCUUUUAUUUUUACUUAUAUUAUUAUGUAAUCUAGUGAUAUAAUGCUUAUAUUAUGCAUGUCACAAGGUUUAAUCAAGGAACAUUAUAUUAUUAUUUAAGUUAUUGGUGUCAUUAAUGUAUUGUAAUGUCAUUCUUUGUUACUGAUGCACAUUCAAAGAUUUUUUUAUUUUUUUUUUCCCACUGUAAUUGUAUUUCAUUAAGAACUACCAUUUAUUGAAUUAUUUUACUUGACACUGAAUGUGCCUUUAUCAUUAAGUCAUGGCAAAUGUUGUAUCCAAUGACAGUUUGAACCCCUAAAUAAACUCUCUAUAAAAAGUUCGGAACAAUGUUAUGAAUUUGUCAUGACUUGAGUGAGUUUACUCUGCCUUCCCCCUGUUUCCUCUCUCUGUGUUAAUAGCUUUCAUACACCUGUAUCCGUGCAGGUGUUUUCCUCUUUAUGAUUACCUCUCCCACCCACCGAGCUAAUUUCAGCUUUGGAAAAAUAACCCAUGGAAAUUUCACUAGUUUACUAAAUAACGACUUCAUUUGGCAUGCUCUUUCUCUCUCUUGUGCAGACAGCCACAUUAGUUGUGGUGUUUAACUAUUGUGUAGCUGGGAAGCAUUUCAAAUCCAUUUGAAAUUUAUUCAGGUUUAAGACGUUUAUCAUGAUGCAUUCCCCUCUUGGGCUGCUAUCAACAACAGGCAGGUACCCUAUGUCUCACUAUAAUGACACUUUAAAACUAAUCUAUUUUGGGGUGUUUGUGACACAUACCCUUAGUGCGAAACCAGGAUCAAUUGCUCCAUUUCAGCAGCAUUUUGGGGAGAAG
This is a long non-coding RNA of Carassius auratus (goldfish), 2590 nucleotides long. RefSeq lists it as uncharacterized. NCBI's taxonomy places the organism in Eukaryota, Metazoa, Chordata, Actinopteri, Cypriniformes, Cyprinidae. The record is from RefSeq and is a predicted model, not a curated record. The transcript is spliced from 3 exons.